Molecule: ribosomal RNA, 440 nt
Filed under: uncultured bacterium
Lineage: Bacteria
Description: partial 16S ribosomal RNA
Rfam family: Bacterial small subunit ribosomal RNA
Source: RNAcentral
CCUACGGGUGGCAGCAGUGGGGAAUAUUGCACAAUGUGGGAAACCCUGAUGCAGCGACGCCGCGUGAGUGAAGAAGGAAUUCGUUUUGUAAAGCUCUAUCCGCAGGGAAGAAAAUGACGGUACCUGAGUAAGAAGCCCCGGCUAACUACGUGCCAGCAGCCGCGGUAAUACGUAGGGGGCAAGCGUUAUCCGGCUUUACUGGGUGUAAAGGGAGUGUAGGCGGAUAUGUAAUGUAGCGGUGAAAUGCAGGGGCUCAACCCCGAAACUGCCAUUAUCACGAUGUAUCUAGAGUAAUGGAGAGGAUAGUGGAAUACCCAGUGUAGAGGUGAAAUUCGUAGAUAUUGGGUAGAACACCAGUUGCGAAGGCGGCUAUCUGGCCUUUUACUGACGCUGAGGCUCGAAAGCAUGGGGAUCAAACAGGAUUAGAUACCCCGGUAGUC